AAGCACAUAGUGCACACUGUGGGAAUUUACGACUGUGCGUAAAUCCCCCCCUAAUAUUGGUAUGAUCCGAGCUCAGGCACUAAGCGGGGCAGGGCAGCUGCUGCCUGCGAGUGCGCUGUUGGAGAAACGGAGCCAGGCAGACAGACUAGAACUGAAGUUCGACCAGUUGUUACCCUCCACGGCUAAAUAAAUCGGUUUCAGUAAUGUAUUGAUAUGCAAGAAUGGACAUAAGGAGCUUCUUUCAAAGAAAAAACUCAGCACAAAGAGGGAGAGAGAGGAACAGAGAGGGAGAGAGAGGAACAGAGAGGGAGAUGGAGAAUGAGGACAGAACAGAGAUGGAACAAGAGCAGGUGAGACACAUGUUAGUCAAAUGGUUGUUUACCAAAAGUAUCACCGUAUCAUAGGUACUCAUGUACUGUAUCUCGUAGCUAGUGUUUCUUUUUAGGUUUGUUAUUUUUCAAGUUAUAUAUUUAUUAAGU
Oreochromis niloticus (Nile tilapia) is the source of this 479-nucleotide long non-coding RNA. RefSeq lists it as uncharacterized. The record is from RefSeq and is a predicted model, not a curated record. The transcript is spliced from 3 exons. Lineage: Eukaryota; Metazoa; Chordata; Actinopteri; Cichliformes; Cichlidae.